Molecule: ribosomal RNA, 264 nt
Filed under: Triticum aestivum (bread wheat)
Lineage: Eukaryota; Viridiplantae; Streptophyta; Magnoliopsida; Poales; Poaceae
Description: partial small subunit ribosomal RNA
Source: RNAcentral
AUGUCAUAUUCAAAAUGGCCUAUCAUUCUGAAAAGGAGAAAAUACUCAAUAUCAGUGUGCUUUGUUCUGACUAUAAACAAAAGUCAGGUGCGAUCUCUCAAAAAGGUUGGACUCUACUUAGAAAGGCAAGUGUUCACACAUCGCCAAUUCUAUGUUGCAAUGGCAAGGGUUAGCAGCAGAAAUGGAUUGCAGAUAUCCAUAUCAGAUGAAGAGCGCCCAUCCGAUCCGACAAGGUUGCAAAGAACGUUGAUAUUUGUUUUUUAA